UUUCUGUGUUUCGACUUCUCUUUACAUUAAAAAUAAUCUAAAACCUUUAAAAACUUAAUACUAAUUUAAAACGUAAUUAAAACAAUAAUAUAAACAGUUUAAAACUCUAAAACUUUAAAAACGGUUAAAACUUUUCACACCGAAGUGUUUUAUCUUUACAUUGGGAGAAGCCCAUUAUUUGAGAUCGAUCACCGAUCAUAUUUACAUUUCCAGGGAACAUUUCGAAAAAAAACAAGUUUUCGAAGAUCAAACGAAGAAUACCAAAAAUCAGCCGCCAUGUUUUUGUUCGAUGAUUCACCGGUAAUCAAUUUCACCACCACUUUCAAAUUUGGAUUUUAUUUCGAUAUACGAUGAGUACCGAUUGACUAGUCUAUCUUGUGAUCUGCCUUGAGGCUUUUUGAAUUUAUCCGGUGAUAACGAAUUACCCAUGAAAGGCUAUUUCGAUAAAUUUCUACGUUGUGAUUUGUGCUGCGACGAUGCUUUUUCACGUCGUUCGAUGCGAGAUAAUUUUUUUGAAAACGUUUGACGAAUUUGGUCAUUAGAGGCGACAACUGUAUAUCGCUAGCUUGGCUACUUAUUCGAUGUGGUUGAAUUCACCGAUACGUACAGGUAAUUAGCGUUCUUAUUGAUUACAUUGUGUUCGAAGUGUUUAAUUUUUUCACUUUUCGUAGCCGAAUUGCUGUUCACCGAUAAGCCAAGAUGGAAUUUCGACUACUACUAGUUAUACUAAUACGAUAUUGACGUGAUGAUUACUUGUACGGUGUACUAUUUACAGAGAUGGGGCGAUUCACAAAAAAAAUGAAUCGGAUUCAAAUGGCGCGAUUCGCCCAAAAAAUCGAAUCCGAUUCAAAAUUAGCGAUUCACUUUUCAAGUGAAUCCGAUUCUGAAUCGGACUCAAAUGCACUCGCGAUUCAAAAAUUGCGAUUCACGAUUCAAUUUUUAUAUUUUUGCAAAUUUUACUCUAUUGCUGCCCUGAGCGAAUUAAAGGGGACAUCCUAAGGAACAUUGUAAAGCAAACUCGCCCAAAACUUACAAAAUUGCGGCCAUUUUCAUUGACAUUGACAGGUCAGCUGAAAUCGCAGAUUUUGCGUUUCAACAUAGGACUUGCAUGAAGUUGUUCAAACUUCACAAAGGUAAAUCGAAAGAUCAUGCUAAAAUUUAUCACCUGUCAAAAUUUCAA
Long non-coding RNA from Planococcus citri (citrus mealybug), 1180 nucleotides. RefSeq lists it as uncharacterized. Lineage: Eukaryota; Metazoa; Arthropoda; Insecta; Hemiptera; Pseudococcidae. The record is from RefSeq and is a predicted model, not a curated record. The transcript is spliced from 4 exons.